UAGGGAAUCUUCCACAAUGGGCGCAAGCCUGAUGGAGCAACACCGCGUGAGUGAAGAAGGGUUUCGGCUCGUAAAGCUCUGUUGUUAAAGAAGAACACGUAUGAGAGUAACUGUUCAUACAUUGACGGUAUCAACCAGAAAGUCACGGCUAAUUACGUGACAG
This 163-nucleotide ribosomal RNA is filed under the name uncultured bacterium. RNAcentral describes it as "partial 16S rRNA". It matches the Rfam family "Bacterial small subunit ribosomal RNA", at positions 355 to 511 of the family's 1533-position model. The record is from RNAcentral.